RNAcentral lists this long non-coding RNA (3171 nucleotides) under Olea europaea subsp. europaea. Lineage: Eukaryota; Viridiplantae; Streptophyta; Magnoliopsida; Lamiales; Oleaceae. The record is from RNAcentral.
CUGAAACACAAACAUAACAUAUUUUUAUAAUUAAGUUAAACUCAAACAUUAAUUUCAACCAUAUUCACAACUAAUACUCAUUUAUUAACGAUAUUUUGUGAGACCCAAUACUAUUUUUCUUAAAAAGUUACUAAUAAUUUGUAUCAUAUUUGUUACAAAAUCUACCCUUUCAAAUCUAAUUGAUUGAUUAUACAGGCCAAGACAAGGGAACUUGUUAGUGCUGAUUUUGAAGGAAAUGGUGGAUGGAGCGAUUAUCACCCAUCGGUUUUCUUGAUGACAAUAGGCACAAGAUUGCGAGGGGAUUAUCAACUCACUAUUGGUUAUGGCCCAUUAAAGCACCUCAAAUAAUGAAGGUAGUCCUUGAUUUCAACAAAUCGUAUAUAUGCAUCAAAAUCAAGUUAUGAUACAACUUGAAUAGUAUUUUAUGGCAGGAACAUUAUACCGCAUACAUAGUGGAAAAUUACUUUAAUUAUGGCUGAACGUCUCUAAAUCAUAAUUUGAGCUAGAAGCGAUUCAUGCACCCCACCAUCCACUUGUCGACCCGAAGUAACGGCCUUACAGCCCCUAGGGGCACAUGUUGUUAGUCAAGCUUUCACUGUGGACUUGCUGCGUUGGCCGUCUUGAAGUACAAUUUUCAUAAAAAAAAUGGAGCGCCUAAUAAUGCAUCUUCAUAGACCAAGGACUAUGAGAUCACCCAUUUCAUUUUGGGGCAAGUUCAUAUCCGAAAAUGGACUCCAAGCCGUGAGAAUUCCUAUUGGAUGGUGGAUAGCCAACGACCUGAUGCCCCUAAAGCCUUAUGUUGGGGGGGAUCCUUGAAAGCCUUAGACAACGCUUUCCUAUGGGCUCGGUAUGUAACAUCUCUUAAGCAAGAAGUAUGGGAUUAAGGUUAUACGUGAUCUGUGAAAACGUGUGUUAUAUUUAGUUAUUUAUUUUAGCGUAAUAUGUAAUUUCCUAUUAUUUUUAGGUUUUUUUGUAGUAGUAUAAAAACUGUUUUUUACUUUCUUUGAAAACCUAAUUUUGAUAGCUCAAUAGAUUUUGGUUCUCUCUUUAUUCUUCUUCUCCUUCUCUUCUCUUUUCUUCAUUUUGAAUUGAUUCAACAUAUUGGUUUGAGAUUCAUUAUAUUAUUAUCAUGGUAUCAGAGCCUAUAAUUGAGUGAAAUUUGUGAAAUUUCUGUUUGGGUCGUGCUGAAAUCAAGAUAGAAAUCAGGUAAAGAAAGUUUGUAUGAAAAACCUAUUCGACCGCAACUUAAAAUCAAGAUUCCGACCAAAUUGGAGAUCCAUUAAGAAAGUGGAGACCAUAUCCUUGUUCAGUAGGUUGAAAGGAAACGUCCGAUCAGGCGCGUGUCGAUUUUAGGCGGAGCGUAGAGACGGUGGUGGCGCGUGCGUCGUUUUUUUGGGGUGAUUCCAAAAGGCAGUUUGUUCCUUGGUAAAUUUCUGAUCUUUUGGUGGUAUUACUUUGGUUAUACGUAUACCGUGCAGUAUAUUUUAACUAUAGUUUGUGGAAGUACGAUGGUUAUCGUUGGUUUCCUUAAAAAAAUUGGAUAAUUUCGUUGAUUCAUAGUUGGUUAUUUAUUGACUUUAUGAUGGCAACUGAAAGAGAUAAUUCACUUCAAUCCAUUAGUGUCAGACUAAAUGGUAAAAAUUACUCGUAUUGGAGUACAGUGAUGAGAAAUUUUUUAAAGGGAAAAAAAUUAUGGGGUUAUGUUAGCGGAACUAUUGUGAAACCCGAGAACACUGCUCAGAAUUAUGUAACAAAGUUAGAUAAUUGGGAGUCAAAAAAUGCGAAAAUUCUCACUUGGAUUCACAAAUCCGUUGAGCAAUCUAUUGGUACACAAUCAGCGAAGUUUGAAACAGCAAAAGAAGUUUGGGAGCAUUUUCAAACGUUAUACACUAAAUCUAACUUUGCAAAACGGUAUCAGUUGGAAAUUGAUAUACGGGCUUUACAUCAGAAAGAUAUGAGUAUUCUUAAGUUCUACACUGCUAUGAACUCUAUCUGGGAUGAGCUGGCUCUUAUGGAAUCAGCAGGACUGAAAGCAUGUGAGGAAUAUAUUACUUUUAAAGAGGAGCAACGAUUAGUUCAGUUUUUGAUGGCACUUCGCAGUGAUUUUGAGGGACUCAGAGGCUCUAUUUUGCAUCGCACUCCACUUCCUUCAGUUGAUUCGGUGGUUAGUGAACUUGUAGCUGAAAAAAUACUUUUGAAAUCUCUUGCAGGAGAAGUAUCUCUUCCUCCAUCUAGCACCUCAGUGUUGGCUGUACCUUCUCGACUGUUCACACAGAACCAGAAUAAAGGUUAUGUGCGAGUUGCUACUGAUGAGUGUAACUUCUGUAAACAAAAAGGACAUUGGAAGUCUCAAUGUCCAAAGCUAUUGAAAAAGCAGCAACCUCAAUCACAGCAGCGAUCUUAUCGUCCCAAUGCUAACAUAGCUGCCACCAUGCCACCUAAUGAUUCAUCCAUACUUGGAGCACCACCUUCAUCCAAUCCCAUGUUGACGGACUUAGCAGAGCAGUUUCAGAAAUUCUUAGCCACACAACCACAUGCUAUGUCAGCCUCCACUUAUAUAGGUUUGUUAUCACAAAAUCACUCAGGUAUUUCUUCCUCAUGGAUCUUUGACUCAGGUGCUUUCAAACACAUGUCGUCUAAUUCAAAACUCUUUAAUGACUUGCGUCCUUCCAACCCAUCUAUGUCUGUUAUGACUGCUGAUGGUACACCAUUACCUUUAGCAGGUGUUGGUUCAGUUAAUACACAUAAUUUGUCACUGUCAAAUGUCUAUUGUGUUCCAGCUCUUAUUUUGAAUCUUAUCUCUAUUGGUCAAUUGUGUGAUUCUGGAUACUUAGUUCAAUUUUCUUCUACUGGUUGUCAUGUGCAGGAUCCUCAAUCUUAAAAGCUGAUUGGGAUAGGCCGUAGACAAGGAGGGUUAUAUGUUCUGGACAAUCUAAGAUCAUCACACGUUGCAGCCUCUGGUGUUGAUUUGUCAUCUUUUUCUUUGAAUUCAUUGUCUUCUAGUUUUUAUUUGUGGCAUUCUCGCCUUGGACAUGUUUCCACUAGUCGUUUAAAAUUUUUAGUUUCUAAGGGUCAAUUGGGAAAUAUACAAACACAUGAUAUUUCUGAUUGUAGUGGUUGCAAAUUAGUAAAAUUUUCUGCAUUACCUUUUCCUCGAAGUAUUUCUCAUUC